AUAUUUGUUCUUUGCAGGUUUGAUGAUAAGGAGGUCCAGAAGGACAUGAAACUUGUUCCAUAUAAGAUUGUGAACAAGGAUGGAAAGCCUUAUAUCCAAGUAAAGAUUAAGGAUGGAGAGACCAAGGUCUUCAGCCCUGAGGAGAUCAGUGCUAUGGUUCUAACUAAGAUGAAGGAAACAGCUGAAGCUUUCCUUGGGAAGAAAAUGCAGUGGUUACUGUUCCUGCAUAUUUCAAUGAUGCCCAGAGGCAGGCCACCAUAGAUGCUGGCAUUAUUGCUGGGCUCAAUGUGGCUAGGAUUAUCAAUGAACCAACUGCAGCCGCAAUUACCUAUGGAUUGGACAAGAAAGGUGGUGAGAAAAACAUUAUUGUCUUCGACCUUGGUGGUGGGACAUUUGAUGUCAGUAUCCUGACAAUUGACAAUGGUGUAUUUGAGGUUCUUUCAACAAAUGGAGACACUCAUUUGGGAGGUGAGGAUUUUGACCAGAGGAUUAUGAAAUACUUUAUUAAACUGAUUAAGAAAAAGCAUGGAAAGGAUAUCAGCAAGGAUAACAGGGUUCUUGG
Long non-coding RNA from Hibiscus syriacus, 562 nucleotides. RefSeq lists it as uncharacterized. Lineage: Eukaryota; Viridiplantae; Streptophyta; Magnoliopsida; Malvales; Malvaceae. The record is from RefSeq and is a predicted model, not a curated record. The transcript has 3 exons.